UCGAACGCUGAAGCCUGGUGCUUGCACCGGGUGGAUGAGUGGCGAACGGGUGAGUAACACGUGAGUAACCUGCCCCUGACUUCGGGAUAAGCCCGGGAAACUGGGUCUAAUACCGGAUACGACUGCCGGACGCAUGUCUGGUGGUGGAAAGUUUUUUCGGUUGGGGAUGGGCUCGCGGCCUAUCAGUUUGUUGGUGAGGUAAUGGCUCACCAAGACGACGACGGGUAGCCGGCCUGAGAGGGCGACCGGCCACACUGGGACUGAGACACGGCCCAGACUCCUACGGGAGGCAGCAGUGGGGAAUAUUGCACAAUGGGGGAAACCCUGAUGCAGCGACGCAGCGUGCGGGAUGACGGCCUUCGGGUUGUAAACCGCUUUCAGCAGGGAAGAAGCGCAAGUGACGGUACCUGCAGAAGAAGUACCGGCUAACUACGUGCCAGCAGCCGCGGUAAUACGUAGGGUACGAGCGUUGUCCGGAAUUAUUGGGCGUAAAGAGCUCGUAGGUGGUUGGUCACGUCUGCUGUGGAAACGCAACGCUUAACGUUGCGCGUGCAGUGGGUACGGGCUGACUAGAGUGCAGUAGGGGAGUCUGGAAUUCCUGGUGUAGCGGUGAAAUGCGCAGAUAUCACGAGGAACACCGGUGGCGAAGGCGGGACUCUGGGCUGUAACUGACACUGAGGA
This 681-nucleotide ribosomal RNA is filed under the name uncultured bacterium. Its description in RNAcentral is "bacterial SSU rRNA". It matches the Rfam family "Bacterial small subunit ribosomal RNA", at positions 62 to 752 of the family's 1533-position model. The record is from RNAcentral.